This 433-nucleotide ribosomal RNA is filed under the name uncultured bacterium. Its description in RNAcentral is "partial 16S ribosomal RNA". It matches the Rfam family "Bacterial small subunit ribosomal RNA", at positions 29 to 507 of the family's 1533-position model. The record is from RNAcentral.
AACGAACGCUGGCGGCAUGCCUAACACAUGCAAGUCGAACGAGACCUUCGGGUCUAGUGGCGCACGGGUGCGUAACGCGUGGGAACCUGCCCUUAGGUUCGGAAUAACUCCCCGAAAGGGGUGCUAAUACCGGAUAAUGUCUUCGGACCAAAGAUUUAUCGCCUUUGGAUGGGCCCGCGUUGGAUUAGCUAGUUGGUAGGGUAAAAGCCUACCAAGGCGACGAUCCAUAGCUGGUCUGAGAGGAAGGUCAGCCACACUGGGACUGAGACACGGCCCAGACUUCCACGGGAGGCAGGAGGGGGGGAUAUUGGAACAUGGGGCAAAACCUGAUCCAGCCAUGCCGGGUGAGUGAUGAAGGCCUUAGGGUUGGAAAGCUUUUUUACCCGGGAAGAUAAUGACGGUACCGGGAGAAUAAGCUCCGGCUAACUCCGUG